AUUGAACGCUGGCGGCAGGCCUAACACAUGCAAGUCGAGCGGAUGAAGGGAGCUUGCUCCUGGAUUCAGCGGCGGACGGGUGAGUAAUGCCUAGGAAUCUGCCUGGUAGUGGGGGAUAACGUCCGGAAACGGGCGCUAAUACCGCAUACGUCCUGAGGGAGAAAGUGGGGGAUCUUCGGACCUCACGCUAUCAGAUGAGCCUAGGUCGGAUUAGCUAGUUGGUGGGGUAAAGGCCUACCAAGGCGACGAUCCGUAACUGGUCUGAGAGGAUGAUCAGUCACACUGGAACUGAGACACGGUCCAGACUCCUACGGGAGGCAGCAGUGGGGAAUAUUGGACAAAGGGCGAAAGCCUGAUCCAGCCAUGCCGCGUGUGUGAAGAAGGUCUUCGGAUUGUAAAGCACUUUAAGUUGGAAGGAAGGGCAGUAAGUUAAUACCUUGCUGUUUUGACGUUACCAACAGAAUGAGCACCGGCUAACUUCGUG
This 484-nucleotide ribosomal RNA is filed under the name uncultured bacterium. RNAcentral describes it as "partial 16S ribosomal RNA". It matches the Rfam family "Bacterial small subunit ribosomal RNA", at positions 30 to 507 of the family's 1533-position model. The record is from RNAcentral.